GAGAUUUUAUCAUUAGUUAUGCCUCUAGAUUUGAUGUCUCAUGUUUUUUCUAAGUCAACUGCAAAUACUCAAUCGAACCUUUAUGCCUUAUGUGAAUUAUGGGACUUUGCAGGACAAAAAGAAUUUUAUGCUACACAUCAAGCAUUUUUAACUAGUAGUGCAGUUUACCUUGUAGUUGCAGAUAUGACUGACGACAUAAGCAAACAAGGCUUAAGUCAAUAUUUUGCCGAUUUUCAGCAUAUUGGAGGUAGGGUUUCGUAUAAAAAAUCAAAUUCAAUAAUAAAGUCUUUUUUAUAGAUUUAUAGUGACAUGUUAUACAUUUAUUAUGUUUUGGUUUCUCCUUCCUUAAUUAUAUAACGUAAUCUGAUAAACCAAUAUCAUUUUGUGAAAUAAAAAAAAACUCAAUUAAAUAAAACUGGUAUUGUAUAGAAAUUACCUGUAAAUUAUUAGCAUCACAAAUCCAUUAGAGAAUUUUCGCUGAAAUAGAGAUAUUAACCAGUCUUAUCUUAAAAAAAAGCACUAAAAAAUAAUCAGCAUCUUGUACUUAAACUUAUUGAAGAAAGAAAGGUAAAUAGAUUCAAGAUAUUUGAACAGUUGACUUGUUUGUGGUUUUGAUUUUAAACAACAACACAAUGGCAGGAUGUAUACGUUCCAAGCAAACCCAAACAUGAAUUAAAUAACAAAAAUUAACUAAAAGUAACUGUGACAAGUAUGAUUGAGGAUAACAUAUAUCAUUUUGAAAGGUUAUAAACAUUAAAAUAUGUUAGAUAUAUAUAAAUUCUAUAAGCACUUCGACAUGAGAAGUUUGUUAAUAUACAAAACUGUCAACGUCAUAUUUGAUACUGUCAUAAUUUUAUUUAAAUGAAUUUUGUAGUAGGCUAUACCAAAGGAGUUUUCAAUGAUUUCAAUGCUAUCUGGGUUAUACGACAAAAACACAAACACAAACAAUUAUUACAUUGUUGGGCAACUUCCUUCUUUGUUCCAAUUUCUAAAUAUCUCUAAUAGUAGGUUUGAUUAUUGCCUAUUCUAAUAACUCGUCUUAAAUUGAAUCGUUUGAAAACUUACAUUUGUGAACUUAUAAAGGAACUUUUUCUACUAAAUAUCGCUUACAAAUUGUUAUGUUUUACAGUAUUUCGAUAUCAUGAACUACAUAUAUCUUAAUUAUGUCAUUUGAUGGCGUUCAUCCCUGGAAGUAGUAGAGAUUCCGUCAUAUAUUAAAGGCACUGCUCUUAUCUUAAGCAAAGUAUUAUUUACAAAGACCUUUAAAAUCGUAAUCAUGAAAAUUUGCCCCUGAAUAAUUUCAAGUUAAACUAAAUGAUAGAAAUCAUAUAUCGUCAAUAAUAACGUGGUUCUUUGUAUACCCGUCUCUUCAUUGAUAUAAGUUAACGUUUUGAAUAUGUUUUUCUUUACCUAUCAUACAGUCGAUUUGCGGUGUCUUUAUUCAUGUAAUUAUGUCCGUUUUAAUUCCAGAGGUUUUCGCAUUACCAUACCAACACAAUAAAUAUUUCAAAACCAAUAAUUGAGCAAUGGCGUUAAAACAUACAUGUAAACUCCUCCUCGACCGAUACAUCAUUUUAACCAACGCGAAUAUAUCCUAUAGAGCCACUGGGGUCUGCUUGUCUGACACUGACACAACUAUCUUAAAAGUUAUAAAGCAAUGCUAAAAAUUAAGUAAGUCAUAUUAUGGUAUUUGAAAAGCCUUCGUUAUCUUGCUUCUGAUAUCAUUAUUUAAUUUUUUGGUUCGCAUGGUAAUUUGUUUUCUGAUCAAUUAAAUAAUCCUUCUAUUAUGAGAAAGAAGAUAUUUGUACAAGAUUGGGCAAAAAUUUGUGAUCAUGGUCCCUUUCCUAUUUUGUGAGUUUGGGUAGACAAUCAAGAAGGGGUCUGGAGACUUCUCAUUUUUUGAAAUGAUUAACACCAUCUUAUCAUCUUAAAUACCACUUGAGGGAGCGAGAUAAAAAAAGAGAAAUAAACAUGCAAUAAAACAAUCAAAAUCGUCAAAUGUGUUCUUAAUAUAUUAUUUAGUUACAAGAAAAGGUAAGGACAUGGAUGAUAUCUUCAAUAUCAGAUUAAAUAUUAAAAAGGUUCAUAGUUAAGCUUGUAACAAUUGCCUUAUAAACAAUGCUAAUAUGUUUCAGAAUAUGUUGAUUUUUGGUUUGAUUCUAUACAUUGUCAUCGAACGGCCGACGAACGAGACAGCUAUGGGCACUUCGAUCCUCCGAUUUUAUUAGUUUUCACUGGAAAGGAUAAAUAUGAAAAGGUAAUUAAAUUGUAGCAAAUGUAGAACAUUGCUUCUCAUUAUAUAUCUGCUUUUAAUCUCGCAUGGCAUAAAGCCUUGGAAGCUUUUCCCAACACUAGGCGUCUCCGUCUAUCAUUCAUCAUAAAUUUUCUUAUGUAUAUAUAGGGAUGUCUAUUUGGUGAAAAUUGUGAUUGUGUGCAGGUAAAUACUUCUUACAGUUCACACAUACACUAAUAUAUCAUUAUACACUGCAAAAUAUUUGCCCAAUCGGUACUGAAUUAAACGCAGUUUAUAAGUCAAAGAGACUGAACAUGACACAUAAUGAAGCAAAUCAAGUUACAUGACGUAAUUUUUAGAUAUUAUAAACCAUGGUAAGGACAGUACUGCCCGAAAAAAUCUGGUAUCCAUGUUGAACUUAAUGCAAUGCUUUCCUGUCGGUAUUAAGACGACCAAGGGAUGACCAUGUUUGCGUAUCCGUGUCAACGUUAUGGGUUGGUCUAACGGUGGCGGUUUAUGAUACCUAUAUCAACGGAGAUUAAUCAACAAGAAACAUGUCACAAUGCGUCUUUUAACAAUGACCAUAAUGCAUACCGCAUAGACAACUAAAAAAUAUAUAAAUGUUCUUUUAAAAGGGUUAUGAGAGUGAUUGAUACAUUUGAGUAAAGAAAUUUAUUUUUGUGGUUCGAUAAGUUUUAAAAUCUUUUAAUAAACUUGAAUAGUCGUUACGCUGUGCACAUACUAAUUGUUGAUUCCCUUUGUUUCGUUUGUAGGCGGAUUUUGAAAAGCGAGAAAAGGAACUUAA
This 3038-nucleotide long non-coding RNA is filed under the name Mytilus galloprovincialis (Mediterranean mussel). Lineage: Eukaryota; Metazoa; Mollusca; Bivalvia; Mytilida; Mytilidae. The record is from RNAcentral.